Oncorhynchus tshawytscha (Chinook salmon) is the source of this 403-nucleotide long non-coding RNA. Lineage: Eukaryota; Metazoa; Chordata; Actinopteri; Salmoniformes; Salmonidae. The record is from Ensembl.
CAGUACAGGGCAGGUUAGGGCAGGGCAGGGCAGUACAGGGCAGGUCAGGGCAGUACAGGGCAGUACAGGGCAGGGCAGGACAGGUCAGGACAGGACAGGUCAGGGCAGGGCAGGGCAGGGCAGGUCAAGGCAGUACAGGGCAGGUCAGGGCAGUACAGGGCAGUACAGGGCAGUUCAGGUCAGGGCAGGGCAGUACAGGGCAGUGCGGGGCAGGUCAGGGCAGUACAGUGCAGGUCUGGUCAGGGCAGUACAGGGCAGGUCAGUACAGGUCAGGGCAGGUCAGGGCAAUGCAGGGCAUUACAGGGCAGGUCAGGGCAGUACAGUACAGGGCAGGUCAGGGCAGUACAGGGCAGGUCAGGGCAGUACAGGGCAGUACAGGUCAGGGCAGGGCAGUACAGGUCAG